GAUUGGUCAUGGAUGUUACCAGAAUGAGUGGUGGAGCUUGUGAGUAAACCUUACUGCAUAAACAUUAACUGGAAUUCUUUCUUUGAAUAUUCAUACCAAAGAGUUGUUCUGCACAGAAAUGAAACUCAUAACAAAGUGGAUAUUGGGUCUCCUUCAGCAUGAAGUAGCCUGAAAUGUUAAUUAGAAAUAUCAAUGAAGCGUGUUUCUUGGCAUUAAAACCGUUACAAGUAUUAGAGGCAUGUACGGUUUUUGGAGUCUUGAAUGAAAUGAGGGAUCAUAUUGAAUUGAUCAAAAUCAUAUUAAAUUGAAAUUAUUUUAUUAUUUUUAUUUAAUUUUGAUUAUCAGUUAGCAAUUAUUGUUAUGCUCUUAAAUAGAUAGAAGGAAAAGAGAGUAAUAAAAUAAAUAAGAUAGCAAAAUCAUAACCAUUCACUAUAUUUCUAUAACUUUUUUCACUUCAUCUCUGUAUAUUCAUAUCACUUCCAUGUUUAUAAUAAUUUCCACUCCCUUUCCAUGAUCUUAUAUUAUGCAUACAUCCAUUGUACACAUCUCAAGAUGUAUCCCAUUAUCUAAUCUUCUUAAUUCAUGUGCUUAACCUAGUUACAUGAAUUUAGUUUACACAAAAUCUAUAGUUAAAGGGGGACCCUUUGUUACAAGCAGAUAUUAUUGUAGAGCAUAGCGCAUUUGAGAAUUGGGAGCAAUAAUAUAAUAUGCCAAAUUAGCCCUCAAUCACGCUAAAAUAAUGUCAUCCGAUUGUCAGAAAUAACUGGCCUAAAACUAAAAACAGUGGAAUAUAAAAUUUAGUAUAUUUGAGAAAAUUGUUAUAAUUUUAUUGAAGGAUAUAUGCUUUCAUUUUUUUGUGAGCGUGCAAUUGAGCACAUGGUUCAGAUUGUGUAGUCAUCAUGAGCAGCAUUUUCUUUUAAUUAAUUUUUCAUGUCCAACUUUCAUCUUUCAAUGAGACCCAACACCAUCAUUCCUCAUCAUUAUACAAAAGUUUAUGACAACCAAUUCUCCAUAUGCGCAUUUUUUUUUUAUAUAAAAAGCUUC
This 1044-nucleotide unclassified non-coding RNA is filed under the name Hevea brasiliensis (rubber tree). The record is from RNAcentral. Lineage: Eukaryota; Viridiplantae; Streptophyta; Magnoliopsida; Malpighiales; Euphorbiaceae.